RNAcentral lists this ribosomal RNA (387 nucleotides) under uncultured bacterium. Its description in RNAcentral is "bacterial SSU rRNA". It matches the Rfam family "Bacterial small subunit ribosomal RNA", at positions 420 to 793 of the family's 1533-position model. The record is from RNAcentral.
CGGGUGUAAAGCACUUUCAGUAGGGAGGAAGGUAGUGUAGUUAACACCUGCACUAUUUGACGUUACCUACAGAAGAAAGCACCGGCUAACUCCGUGCCAGCAGCCGCGGUAAUACGGAGGGUGCGAGCGUUAAUCGGAAUUACUGGGCGUAAAGCGCAUGCAGGCGGCCUGUUAAGUCAGAUGUGAAAGACCCGGGGCGUUAACCUCGGAAUUGCAUUUGAAACUAGGCAGGCUAGAGUCUUGUAGAGGGGGGUAGGAAUUUCAGGUGUAGCGGUGAAAUAGCGUAGAGAUCUGAAGGAAUACCAGUGGCGAAGGCGGCCCCCUGGACAAAGACUGACGCUCAGAUGCGAAAGCGUGGGGAGCAAACAGGAUUAGAUACCCUGGUAG